GCGCCUAUAGCUCAAUUGGAUAGAGCGCUAGCCUUCGGAGCUAGGCGUUGCUGGUUCGACUCCAGCUAGGCGCA
Molecule: non-coding RNA, 74 nt
Organism: Omnitrophica WOR_2 bacterium
Lineage: Bacteria; Pseudomonadati; Candidatus Omnitrophota
Source: Rfam